UAUUACAUUGGUGCAAAAGUAACUGUGGCUUUUGCCAGUACUUUUAAUGGCAAAAACCACAAUUACUUUUGCACCAACAUAAUAUC
This is a microRNA precursor of Chlorocebus sabaeus (green monkey), 86 nucleotides long. The record is from Ensembl. Lineage: Eukaryota; Metazoa; Chordata; Mammalia; Primates; Cercopithecidae.